This 497-nucleotide ribosomal RNA is filed under the name uncultured bacterium. RNAcentral describes it as "partial 16S ribosomal RNA". It matches the Rfam family "Bacterial small subunit ribosomal RNA", at positions 28 to 507 of the family's 1533-position model. The record is from RNAcentral.
GAUGAACGCUGGCGGCGUGCCUAAUACAUGCAAGUCGAGCGAACGGACGAGAAGCUUGCUUCUCUGAUGUUAGCGGCGGACGGGUGAGUAACACGUGGAUAACCUACCUAUAAGACUGGGAUAACUUCGGGAAACCGGAGCUAAUACCGGAUAAUAUUUUGAACCGCAUGGUUCAAAAGUGAAAGACGGUCUUGCUGUCACUUAUAGAUGGAUCCGCGCUGCAUUAGCUAGUUGGUAAGGUAACGGCUUACCAAGGCAACGAUGCAUAGCCGACCUGAGGGGGGGAUCGGCCACACUGGAACUGAGACACGGUCAAGACUCCUACGGGAGGCAGCAGUAGGGAAUCUUCCGCAAGGGGCGAAAGCCUGACGGAGCAACGCCGCGUGAGUGAUGAAGGUCUUCGGAUCGUAAAACUCUGUUAUUAGGGAAGAACAUAUGUGUAAGUAACUGUGCACAUCGUGACGGUACCUAAUCAGAAAGCCACGGCUAACUACGUG